CCGUGUCCCGAGAUACCUCGUAGAGAUACCCGCCCUAAAAAGUGCAGCCAUGUUUGUUUGGGGCCUUAAAGCAGAAAUAAGGAGAAAGCAGAGGGAGCACUGGACAACAGCCAUUUCACAGAGACCAGCAAGCUGCUGGCUUAAGCCACCACUCACUUCGCUUACAGAGAAUCCUGCUUCUGACUGCGUAAACACAAAUGGCUCCGAGGAUAUUUCAUCACCUUCUCUAAGUACUUCACGACGAACUCCUUAUCUGGCUGAAUUGAAACCUAUAUCUCCUUUCAACACGUUGCUCAUUGCAAAGAUCUUCCGAUAACCACGACCAGAGGACAGCAUUUAAAAUGAAACAUAUUGCCAUCUAUGAGGGAUAAAGAAUAAAGAAAAAUAUAUAUAAGACAUUCAUUAGUAGGUUCAUAAUUAAAAAAUAGAGUUAAAGUCUGAACGGUUUGUAGUCAGCAACACUCUGUCUACAUAGAUCUCUUCAGGGAGGAGAUUUAGAAAGGGGAAA
Molecule: non-coding RNA, 508 nt
Organism: Coturnix japonica (Japanese quail)
Lineage: Eukaryota; Metazoa; Chordata; Aves; Galliformes; Phasianidae
Source: RefSeq, a predicted model, not a curated record